RNAcentral lists this unclassified non-coding RNA (153 nucleotides) under uncultured fungus. RNAcentral's name for it is "sequence contains ITS1, 5.8S rRNA gene". The record is from RNAcentral. Lineage: Eukaryota; Fungi.
CAGAGUUACAUACUCCUAAACCCCUGUUUAUUUACCUAUACGUUGCUUCGGCAGGCGGCCCCAGGGAGGGGCCGUUGGGUGCCUGCCGAAGGUAUAAACCAAACUCUUGUUUUAUAAACCUAAAGCUUCUGAGUUAUACUUUUAAAUAAGUCA